GCCUCGGUAACUCAGCGGUAGAGUGAUUGACUUGUAAUCAAUUAGCCGGGGGUUCAAUUCCCCCCCGAGGCUCCA
This 75-nucleotide transfer RNA is filed under the name Candidatus Heimdallarchaeota archaeon. RNAcentral describes it as "tRNA-Thr". It matches the Rfam family "tRNA". Rfam says of the family: Transfer RNA (tRNA) molecules are approximately 80 nucleotides in length. Their secondary structure includes four short double-helical elements and three loops (D, anti-codon, and T loops). The record is from RNAcentral. Lineage: Archaea; Promethearchaeati; Candidatus Heimdallarchaeota.